Molecule: transfer RNA, 66 nt
Filed under: Histeroidea sp. 4 KM-2017
Lineage: Eukaryota; Metazoa; Arthropoda; Insecta; Coleoptera
Description: tRNA-Ser
Source: RNAcentral
AGUUAAUGAACUUGUAUAAGUAUUUACUUUGAAAGUAAGCAAAAGGGUGAAAAUCCCUAUUAACUU